This 184-nucleotide ribosomal RNA is filed under the name Shewanella sp. Asnod2G01. Its description in RNAcentral is "partial 16S ribosomal RNA". It matches the Rfam family "Bacterial small subunit ribosomal RNA", at positions 439 to 615 of the family's 1533-position model. The record is from RNAcentral. Lineage: Bacteria; Pseudomonadati; Pseudomonadota; Gammaproteobacteria; Alteromonadales; Shewanellaceae.
GCGANGAGGAAAGGUAGGUAGUUAAUAACUGCUUACUGUGACGUUACUCGCAGAAGAAGCACCGGCUAACUUCGUGCCAGCAGCCGCGGUAAUACGAGGGGUGCAAGCGUUAAUCGGAAUUACUGGGCGUAAAGCGUACGCAGGCGGUUUGUUAAGCAAGAUGUGAAAGCCCCGGGCUCAACCU